GGGCCUUGUUGCUGGUCCGCCGCAAGGUGUGCACUGGUGAUGGGGUCCUUCCUCUCGAAGACUGGGCGUGCUCUUAACUGAGUGCGUUUGGGACUCGGGACUUUUACUUUGAAAAAAUUAGAGUGUUCAAAGCAGGCUUACGCUUGAAUACAUUAGCAUGGAAUAAUAGAAUAGGACUUUGGUCUUAUUUUGUUGGUUUCUAGGACUGAAGUA
Molecule: ribosomal RNA, 213 nt
Filed under: uncultured fungus
Lineage: Eukaryota; Fungi
Description: partial small subunit ribosomal RNA
Rfam family: Eukaryotic small subunit ribosomal RNA (bases 87-213)
Source: RNAcentral